UCGGCGCUAAUACCUCAUAACUGCAGCGGAUCCGCAUGGAUAUGUUGUUAAAGGUUUACCGCCUUGGGAUAGGCUUGCGUCUGAUUAGCUAGUUGGUGUGGUAACGGCACACCAAGGCUACGAUCAGUAACUGGUCUGAGAGGAUGAUCAGUCACACUGGAACUGAGACACGGUCCAGACUCCUACGGGAGGCAGCAGUGAGGAAUAUUGGGCAAUGCUCGAAAGAGUGACCCAGCAACGCCGCGUGAGGAUGAAGGUAUUCUAUAUCGUAAACUCCUGUGAGAGCAGACGAAAGACAGAUUAUUAAUCUGGAUGACUGUAUGCUCAGAGGAAGCCCCGGCUAACUACGUG
RNAcentral lists this ribosomal RNA (351 nucleotides) under uncultured bacterium. RNAcentral describes it as "bacterial SSU rRNA". It matches the Rfam family "Bacterial small subunit ribosomal RNA", at positions 157 to 507 of the family's 1533-position model. The record is from RNAcentral.